AUUGAACGCUGGCGGCAUGCCUUACACAUGCAAGUCGAACGGUAACGCGGGGGCAACCCUGGCGACGAGUGGCGAACGGGUGAGUAAUACAUCGGAACAUAUCCAGUAGCGGGGGAUAACCUAUCGAAAGAUUGGCUAAUACCGCAUACGAUCUACGGAUGAAAGCAGGGGGACCGCAAGGCCUUGCACUAUUGGAGUGGCCGAUGUCAGAUUAGCUAGUUGGUGGGGUAAAAGCCUACCAAGGCGACGAUCUGUAGCUGGUCUGAGAGGACGAUCAGCCACACUGGAACUGAGACACGGUCCAGACUCCUACGGGAGCAGCAGUAAGGAAUAUUGGUCAAUGGACGCAAGUCUGAACCAGCCAUGCCGCGUGAAGGAUUAAGGUCCUCUGGAUUGUAAACUUCUUUUAUCUGGGACGAAAAAAGGCGAUUCUUCGUCACUUGACGGUACCAGAUGAAUAAGCACCGGCUAACUCCGUGCCAGCAGCCGC
RNAcentral lists this ribosomal RNA (490 nucleotides) under uncultured bacterium. Its description in RNAcentral is "bacterial SSU rRNA". It matches the Rfam family "Bacterial small subunit ribosomal RNA", at positions 30 to 518 of the family's 1533-position model. The record is from RNAcentral.